This 431-nucleotide ribosomal RNA is filed under the name uncultured bacterium. RNAcentral's name for it is "partial 16S ribosomal RNA". It matches the Rfam family "Bacterial small subunit ribosomal RNA", at positions 29 to 507 of the family's 1533-position model. The record is from RNAcentral.
AGCGAACGCUGGCGGCAGGCUUAACACAUGCAAGUCGAGCGCCCCGCUCGGGGACCGGCAGACGGGAGUGUAACACGUGGGAACAUACCCCUUGGUUCGGAACAACUGAGGGAAACAUCAGCUAAUACCGGAUAAGCCCUCACGGGGAAAGAUUUAUCGCCGAAAGAUUGGCCCGCGUCUGAUUAGCUAGUUGGUGAGGUAACGGCUCACCAAGGCGACGAUCAGUAGCUGGUCUGAGAGGAUGAUCAGCCUCACUGGGACUGAGACACGGCCCAGACUCCUACGGGAGGCAGCAGUGGGGAAUAUUGGACAAUGGGGGCAACCCUGAUCCAGCCAUGCCGCGUGAGUGAUGAAGGCCUUAGGGUUGUAAAGCUCUUUUGCCCGGGAAGAUAAUGACGGUACCGGGAGAAUAAGCCCCGGCUAACUUCGUG